This is a transfer RNA of 72 nucleotides. It matches the Rfam family "tRNA". Rfam says of the family: Transfer RNA (tRNA) molecules are approximately 80 nucleotides in length. Their secondary structure includes four short double-helical elements and three loops (D, anti-codon, and T loops).
GCUUUUAUAGCUUAAUGGUAAAGCCCCUUACUGUUAAUAAGGUAUAUAUGGGUUCGAUUCCCUUUAAAGGCU